UACGUAGGUGGCAAGCGUUGUCCGGAAUUAUUGGGCGUAAAGCGCGCGCAGGUGGUUUCUUAAGUCUGAUGUGAAAGCCCACGGCUCAACCGUGGAGGGUCAUUGGAGACUGGGGAACUUGAGUGCAGGAGAGAAGAGUGGAAUUCCACGUGUAGCGGUGAAAUGCGUAGAGAUGUGGAGGAACACCAGUGGCGAAGGCGACUCUUUGGCCUGUAACUGACACUGAGGCGCGAAAGCGUGGGGAGCAAACAGG
This 253-nucleotide ribosomal RNA is filed under the name uncultured bacterium. RNAcentral's name for it is "partial 16S ribosomal RNA". It matches the Rfam family "Bacterial small subunit ribosomal RNA", at positions 524 to 776 of the family's 1533-position model. The record is from RNAcentral.